Molecule: ribosomal RNA, 254 nt
Filed under: uncultured bacterium
Lineage: Bacteria
Description: partial 16S ribosomal RNA
Rfam family: Bacterial small subunit ribosomal RNA
Source: RNAcentral
UACGUAGGGUGCGAGCGUUAAUCGGAAUUACUGGGCGUAAAGCGUGCGCAGGCGGUUCGUUGUGUCGGCGGUGAAAGCCCCGGGCUCAACCUGGGAAUGGCCGUUGAAACUGGCGAACUGGAGUGUGGCAGAGGGGGGUGGAAUUCCGCGUGUAGCAGUGAAAUGCGUAGAGAUGCGGAGGAACACCGAUGGCGAAGGCAGCCCCCCUGGGCUGACACUGACGCUCAGGCACGAAAGCGUGGGGAGCAAACAGG